UACGUAGGGUGCAAGCGUUGUCCGGAAUUAUUGGGCGUAAAGAGCUCGUAGGCGGUCUGUCGCGUCGGAUGUGAAAACCCAGGGCUCAACCCUGGGCCUGCAUUCGAUACGGGCAGACUAGAGUUCGGUAGGGGAGACUGGAAUUCCUGGUGUAGCGGUGAAAUGCGCAGAUAUCAGGAGGAACACCGGUGGCGAAGGCGGGUCUCUGGGCAACAACUGACGCUGAGGAGCGAAAGCGUGGGGAGCGAACAGG
RNAcentral lists this ribosomal RNA (253 nucleotides) under uncultured bacterium. RNAcentral describes it as "partial 16S ribosomal RNA". It matches the Rfam family "Bacterial small subunit ribosomal RNA", at positions 524 to 776 of the family's 1533-position model. The record is from RNAcentral.